GGGUGCGAUCAUACCAGCACUAAUGCACCGGAUCCCAUCAGAACUCCGCAGAUAAGCGUGCUUGGGUGAGAGUAGUACUAGGAUGGGUGACCUCCUGGGAAGUCCUCGUGUUGCAUCCCUC
Molecule: ribosomal RNA, 121 nt
Filed under: Gossypium raimondii (Peruvian cotton)
Lineage: Eukaryota; Viridiplantae; Streptophyta; Magnoliopsida; Malvales; Malvaceae
Source: RNAcentral